Molecule: ribosomal RNA, 253 nt
Filed under: uncultured bacterium
Lineage: Bacteria
Description: partial 16S ribosomal RNA
Rfam family: Bacterial small subunit ribosomal RNA
Source: RNAcentral
UACGAAGGGGGCUAGCGUUGCUCGGAAUCACUGGGCGUAAAGCGCACGUAGGCGGAUUGCUAAGUCAGGGGUGAAAUCCUGGAGCUCAACUCCAGAACUGCCUUUGAUACUGGCGAUCUUGAGUCCGGGAGAGGUGAGUGGAACUGCGAGUGUAGAGGUGAAAUUCGUAGAUAUUCGCAAGAACACCAGUGGUGAAGGCGGCUCACUGGCCCGGUACUGACGCUGAGGUGCGAAAGCGUGGGGAGCAAACAGG